This 459-nucleotide ribosomal RNA is filed under the name uncultured bacterium. RNAcentral describes it as "partial 16S ribosomal RNA". It matches the Rfam family "Bacterial small subunit ribosomal RNA", at positions 338 to 795 of the family's 1533-position model. The record is from RNAcentral.
CCUACGGGUGGCAGCAGUGAGGAAUAUUGGUCAAUGGGCGCGAGCCUGAACCUGCCAAGUCGCGUGAGGGAAGACGGUUCUAUGGAUUGUAAACCUCUUUUGUCGGGGAGCAAAUGAAGCCACGCGUGGCGUUCCGAGAGUACCCGACGAAAAAGCAUCGGCUAACUCCGUUCCAGCAGCCGCUGUAAUACGGAGGAUGCGACCGUUAUCCGGAUUUAUUGGUGUUAUGGUGUGCGCAGGCGGAAGAUCAAGUCAGCGGUAAAAUUGAGAGGCACAACCUCUUCGAGCCGUUGAAACUGGUUUACUUGAGUGAGCGAGAAGUAUGCGGAAUGCGUGGUGUAGCAGUGAAAUGCUUAGAUAUCACGCAGAACUCCGAUUGCGAAGGCAGCAUACCGGCGCUCAACUGACGCUCAUGCACGAAAGUGUGGGUAUCGAACAGGAUUAGAUACCCUAGUAGUC